RNAcentral lists this ribosomal RNA (494 nucleotides) under Staphylococcus pseudintermedius. RNAcentral describes it as "partial 23S ribosomal RNA". It matches the Rfam family "Bacterial large subunit ribosomal RNA", at positions 2432 to 2925 of the family's 2925-position model. The record is from RNAcentral. Lineage: Bacteria; Bacillati; Bacillota; Bacilli; Caryophanales; Staphylococcaceae.
CAUGGAAGGGCCAUCGCUCAACGGAUAAAAGCUACCCCGGGGAUAACAGGCUUAUCUCCCCCAAGAGUUCACAUCGACGGGGAGGUUUGGCACCUCGAUGUCGGCUCAUCGCAUCCUGGGGCUGUAGUCGGUCCCAAGGGUUGGGCUGUUCGCCCAUUAAAGCGGUACGCGAGCUGGGUUCAGAACGUCGUGAGACAGUUCGGUCCCUAUCCGUCGUGGGCGUAGGAAAUUUGAGAGGAGCUGUCCUUAGUACGAGAGGACCGGGAUGGACAUACCUCUGGUGUACCAGUUGUCGUGCCAACGGCAUAGCUGGGUAGCUAUGUAUGGACGGGAUAAGUGCUGAAAGCAUCUAAGCAUGAAGCCCCCCUCGAGAUGAGAUUUCCCAACUUCGGUUAUAAGAUCCCUCAAAGAUGAUGAGGUGAAUAGGUUCGAGGUGGAAGCGUAGCGAUACGUGGAGCUGACGAAUACUAAUCGAUCGAAGACUUAAUCAACAU